GUCGAGAAUCUUUCACAAUGGGGGCAACCCUGAUGGAGCGACGCCGCGUGGAGGAUAAGGUCUUCGGAUUGUAAACUCCUGUCAUGCGUGAACAAGGUUGCUUGGUUAAUACCUGGGCAAAUUGAUGGUAACGCAAGAGGAAGAGACGGCUAACUCUGUGCCAGCAGCCGCGGUAAUACAGAGGUCUCAAGCGUUGUUCGGAAUCACUGGGCGUAAAGGGUGCGUAGGUGGCGUGGUAAGUCAGAUGUGAAAGCCCGGGGCUCAACCUCGGAACUGCAUCCGAUACUGCCAUGCUAGAGUACUGGAGAGGUGACUAGAAUUCUCGGUGUAGCAGUGAAAUGCGUAGAUAUCGAGAGGAAUACCAAAGGCGUAGGCAGGUCACUGGACAGUUACUGACACUGAGGCACGAAGGCCAGGGGAGCGAACGGGAUUAGAUACCCUGGUAGUCC
RNAcentral lists this ribosomal RNA (449 nucleotides) under uncultured bacterium. RNAcentral's name for it is "bacterial SSU rRNA". It matches the Rfam family "Bacterial small subunit ribosomal RNA", at positions 354 to 796 of the family's 1533-position model. The record is from RNAcentral.